This 1359-nucleotide long non-coding RNA is filed under the name Homo sapiens (human). RNAcentral's name for it is "HSALNT0077948". The record is from RNAcentral. Lineage: Eukaryota; Metazoa; Chordata; Mammalia; Primates; Hominidae.
CUGGGCUCAAGCACUCCUCCAGCCUUAGCCUCCUGAGUAGCUAGAACUUCGGACACGCACCACCAUGUCCAACAAUUUUUAAAUUUUUUGUAGAAACGGUCUCACUAUGUUGCCCAGGCUGGUCUAAACUCCUGGCCUCAUGCAAUCCUUUCACCUUGGCCUCCCAAAGUGGUGGGAUUACAGGCAUGAGCUACCAUGCCUGGGCAUAAUGUUUAAUUUCUAAGAUAUUUUGACUUUGCUUUUAUUUCAAUUCAUUGCAGUUUUAAGCAUUAGGUGGAUAUUUUCUUGUGUUAGUUCACACAAUUAAACUGUUCUAAUGUCUCAUUAUUAAGCAGGUUAAGCUCUUAUUUUAUCAGUAAUGUGGAUUAGUUUUAUAUUUUUCCAACUCUUUGACCCUCUAGGAUUAAUGCAGCUAUAAGAAAAUGAACCAUUUAUAAAAUGAUAAUCUUUCCAAGUUAUAGUUCAUAUGUGUUCCUAGGUUAUUUGUAAAAAUUAUUUCUUCCUAUUGUAAAUAUUCUUAUUAAUAGGAAAUUUCUAGGUUUUACAUGUCCCAUCUUUGUUAUAAAGUCACAAGUAUGUCUUAACAUGUGGUAUCUAUAGCCAAGAAAUCAAAAUAUAAAAAGAACUCAAGGGUUUGUUAUUCGUUAACACUUACAAGAAAGAACAAUGUCUUGAUUUCUGUAUCUCUAGCAUCUACACAGUACAUAGCGCAUAAUAAGCACUAAAUAAAAGAUGAAAGAAUGCCUUUCUUAACCAAGGCAGUUUAAUAAUAUGUACAAAGAUGUAUAUACAGUACAUAGGAAGUGCUUGAGAAUACAUGGACAAAAUCAGAUUUAGCCAGUGCUAUUAAGGAGUUUAUUGUUAAGAACAAGUUAAUUAGUGCACAAUUGCAACAUGUAGACAACUAUUGGGUGUGCCACUAGACACCCACCAGCAACAUGUGCAAGCCUACAUUUAAGCUGCACAGCCUAAGCAUUAUGUGCAGAAAACCAGGUUAUCCUAGAGAAAUGAGGAAAGAAACUUUUUAUGCAACAUGAGCUUGAGUCAGCUUUCAGAAAUCCAAACUAAAAAGAAAAUCGUAGAGACAAGAUUUCAACUAUUCAACAUGGCUCUGAUUUUGACAUUUAAUCUGUAUUUUUGUAGUGAGGCAAAAAAUAAUCAUGUAAGAGUUUCUCAAAAUUCAGAAUGGGGGGCAGGAUCAAACAAAAGAAUAAGAUUUUUUUUUGUACUGCAGUGGUCUUUGUAUAUAAAAUGUCAAAUAUUUUAUCCUCUCAGUACAAGGAAUGUUUCAGUAGAUGCCAGUGUUAAUGUCAAAGGAAUAAAUCCUUUGGAGAAAUCUUAAGUCUACAUCUUACACCU